RNA transcript from Penaeus vannamei (Pacific white shrimp), 5364 nucleotides. It is a transcript of the gene named structural maintenance of chromosomes 1, with no coding region annotated. NCBI's taxonomy places the organism in Eukaryota, Metazoa, Arthropoda, Malacostraca, Decapoda, Penaeidae. The record is from RefSeq and is a predicted model, not a curated record.
GGCAACACUGUUUACGCGCCAUUUUACCGUAAACAAACACUUCGAGUUUGUUUUGAGGCUUGUGUUGUGGUCUCCGUUUUUCAGCCUUUCCCCUCGUCUCGUGGGGAGGAAUAUGGUGUCCUUCCCCUCUUCCUGCUGGGCCUGUUAGCAACGCGAGGAAGAAAAAGGGACAAUGAAGGCCAUUUUGAAGUACAUUGAGGUGGAGAACUUCAAGUCCUACCGAGGCUUCUAUCACAUCGGUCCGCUAAAGCCUUUUACGGCGGUCAUCGGCCCCAAUGGCUCCGGCAAAUCCAACUUCAUGGAUGCCAUCUCUUUCGUCAUGGGAGAGAAGACAUCCAGCCUGCGUGUGAAGCGUCUGAGUGACCUCAUCCAUGGCGCCUCAAUUGGACAGCCUAUAUCAAGGACAGCUCACGUGACAGCCGUGUUCACGCUUGAAAGCGGAGAGGAGAAGAGGUUCACUCGUCUGGUACAAGGCUCGUCAUCAGACCAUAAGAUCAAUGGAAAUGUGGUCAGCAGCCAGACCUAUCUCAAGGAAUUGGAAUCUCUAGGCAUCAAUGUGAAGGGCAAGAACUUCCUUGUCUUCCAGGGUGCUGUGGAAUCCAUUGCAAUGAAGAACCCUAAGGAAAGAACAGUGCUGUUUGAAGAGAUUAGUGGAUCUGGAGCAUUGAAAGAGGAGUAUGACCGGCUCAAGACAGAGAUGUUGAAGGCAGAAGAGGAUACACAGUUUACUUACCAGAAAAAGAAGGGCAUUGCAGCCGAACGUAAAGAGGCCAAACAAGAAAAGGAAGAGGCGGAGAGAUACCAGCGUCUAAAGGAUGAACUGGGUGAAAAACAAGUAGAAAUGCAGUUGUUUAGGCUGUAUCACAAUGAAAAGGAGAUCGCAGAAUUUGAUAAAGAAAUUAAGAGAAAGCAAGCAGACCUGGAGAAAGUGGAGAAGAAGAAGGAGAAAGCUGAGGAAAUCUUGAAGGAAAAGAAGAAGGAACACACACGAGUGUCGAGGGAAAUGUCCAAGAUGGAGCAGGAUAUUAGAGAAUUGGAAGCAGAGGUCAACAAGAAGCGUCCAACCUUCAUCAAGGCCAAGGAGAGAGUAACUCACAUGCAGAAGAAAGCCGAUUCUGCUCGCAAAUCUCUCGCACAGGCCAUCAAAGCACACAACGCCCAUAUGGAUGACAUCAGGGAGCUGGAGGGCGAGCUCCAGGAGGUCGAGAAGAAAAGGGGCGAGUUUGAGGAACAGGUCUCACAGGAUUCAGAAAACCAAGGAAAGAGUGUUCAGCUGGAGGAGGUGCAAAUCAAAGAAUACCACAGGUUGAAGAACAUGGCUGCUCGGAAAUCUGCCCAAUACCUUCAAGAGCUUGAUUCAAUCAACCGCGAACAGAAGUCAGACCAGGACAGGCUAGACAAUGCUCAGAGACGAACCUCAGAGAUUGAAAGUCGCCUCAGACAGAAAGGUCACGAGCUGGAGGAGGCACAGAAGCGUGUGGAGAAGUUAAUGGAACAUAUCAGACAAUCUGAAACGUCAUUAGAAGACCAGAAGAGAUUAAGACAGGAGUUGGUAUCAGAUGUAGGUUAUAGCAAGGAACGCAUUACUCAGCUACAAGAACAGCUAGAGAAUGUGACUGAGCAGCUUGGUGAUGCACGUGUUGACAAACAUGAAGAUGGACGCAGAAAGAAGAAACAGGAGAUCGUGGAGAACUUCAAGCAGCUGUACUCUGGGGUGUAUGACAGAAUGAUUAACAUGUGUCAGCCCAUUCACAAAAGGUACAAUGUUGCCAUUACAAAAGUCUUGGGUAAAUACAUGGAGGCCAUUGUUGUGGACACUGAGAAGACAGCCCGUCAGUGUGUCCAGUACCUCAAAGAUCAGAUGUUAGAUCCAGAGACCUUCCUACCCUUGGAUUAUAUUCAGGCAAAGCCCCUCAAAGAGAGAUUGAGAAACAUCAAAGAACCUAGAAAUGUGAAGCUUCUGUACGAUGUGUUGCAGUAUGACCCACCUGAGAUCAAGAGGGCUGUGCUUUUUGCCACAAACAAUGCCCUGGUGUGUGAGACCCCAGAGGAUGCCUCCAAAGUGGCCUAUGACCUGGAGGAUGGUCACAGAUAUGAUGCUGUUGCACUUGAUGGUACCUUCUUCUCCAAGUCUGGUAUCAUUUCUGGAGGUAGUUUGGAUCUUGCCCGUAAGGCCAAGAGAUGGGAUGAAAAGCACCUCUCUAACCUCAAAGCCUCAAAGGAGAAGCUGUCUGAAGAGCUCCGGGAAGCCAUGAAGAAGUCAAGGAAAGAGUCAGAGCUUAACACAGUUGAGUCACAGAUUCGUGGUAUUGAGACAAGGCUCAAAUAUUCUAAGACAGACAAAGACUCAACAGAGAAGCAGAUAGCUGGGCUGCAGAAGGAGCUAGACAAGCUUAAAGCAGAACUUAACACCUUUGAGCCCCAGCUACGGGAUAUUGAGAAGGUCAUGAGUGAGCGGGAAGCCACAAUGAGUGACGUCAAAGAAAAGAUGAACACAGUGGAAGACGUGGUCUUUGCUGACUUCUGUAAGUCCAUUGGAGUCACUAACAUCCGUCAGUAUGAGGAGCGAGAGUUGCAGGCUCAAACAGAUAGGGCAAAUCGCCGCUUAGAGUUUGAAAAGCAGAAGAACAGAAUAUUGAAUCAGCUAGAGUUUGAAAAGUCACGUGACACUCAGAGCAAUGUGGCUCGGUGGGAACGGUCAGUACAGGAUGAUGAGGAUGCUCUAGAACAGGCCAAGCAAGCAGAACAGAAACAGAUGGGUGAGAUAGACAAGAGCAUGAGAGACCUGGAGAAGAAAAGAUCAGAGAAACUGGCCAAGAAGUCGGAGUGCGACGAAAUGGACGAUGAAAUUGGCAAGGCACGGAGGGAAGUGGGCACCAUUGCCAAAGACAUCCAGAGUGUGCAGAAGCAGAUCAAUUCAAUCGAUCACAAAAUGGAACAAAAGAAGGGGGAGAGACAUUCUAUCCUUAAACAAUGCAAGAUGGAUGACAUCUUGGUUCCAAUGACUCGAGGCAACAUGGAAGACAUAGAAAAUGAGGGCCGGGAAGCAGGGGAAUCUACGCUAGAGUACUCUUCAGGCCUCAACACACAGGUGAUGUACGAGAAAGAGUCUAGAAUUGUCUUGGACUACACAUCCCUAAGCGAAACACACAAGGAACUUGAUGACAUUGAUGAUGUGCACAAGGCUGAGAAGCGCAUGCAGAAGCAUAUCAACGACCUCAUGAACACCAUUCAGAGAAUUCAGGCCCCCAAUAUGAAAGCAAUGCAGAAGCUUGACUUGGCGAGAGAGAAACUCCAAGAAACAAAUGAGGAGUUUGACAGUGCACGCAAACGGGCAAAGAAAGCCAAGCAGGCCUUUGAAAGAGUAAAGAAGGAGCGUUAUGACAAAUUCAUGGCAUUCUUUGAGCACGUCUCGAAUGAGAUUGAUGGUAUUUAUAAGGCCUUGGCCAAGAAUGCCUCUGCUCAAGCCUUCCUUGGCCCAGAGAAUCCAGAGGAACCCUACUUAGACGGCAUCAACUACAACUGUGUGGCGCCCGGCAAACGUUUCCAGCCCAUGUCCAACUUGUCUGGUGGAGAGAAGACAAUUGCUGCUCUGGCUCUUCUCUUUGGUAUCCAUAGUUACCAACCUGCUCCGUUCUUCGUGCUUGAUGAGAUUGAUGCAGCCCUGGACAACACCAACAUUGGCAAAGUUGCAUCAUACAUUGUGGACAUGAAGUCACAUCUUCAGACCAUUGUCAUCUCGCUGAAGGAAGAGUUCUACCAGAAUGCGGAUGCUCUUGUUGGAAUUUGUCCAGAUCCGGGCGAGUGUCUGAUCAGCAAAGUACUGACCUUGGACCUAGAAAGAUACCCCUUGCAAAGAAGUGAGGAGCCAGAUCCUUUUGGUGUCAAGGUAUGUGACUUGCUUUACGCACACCGAAAGCUCCCCUGAUGAAGUCUGUGCCAGAAGGAAGUGAGAGUGAGUUCCAACCUCUCGCCCCGCCUGAUCUGGCAGAGGUAGACUGCAAAACUGGUUCCAAAGAAUAUUUUUUUAACCAUUGAAUAUUCAAGCAGAAGGCAAAAGAAAAAAAAAAGUUCUUUUCUUUCUUUAUUCCCUCCUUCCUUCCUUCCUUCCUUCCUUCCUUCCUUCCUUCCAUCUCAAAAAUUGAAUGUAAAGCACAAUUGGUGAUACUGUAUUUCUGUAGAUUGCCCGAUGCCUCACUGGCCAAAAAAAUGUUCUCGCAGACUGCCCAUUCCCACACCUUGAUACGGCUGUAGGUAGAAAGGUGUGGCAAACUGAAAGUUGAUUUGUUUUAUUUUAUUAUUUUUGUAUUUAUUUAUUUUUUUCUUUUUCUUUUUCUUUUUCUUUGAAACUUGUAAACAAAAGAGUUUUAACCACAUGAAAUCCAUUUGAAAUCUUGUGAGUAAAAAGUAUACUACAUGCAUGAGGUGGGAUAUUUUGAUUAUAUCUGUAGAUCCCCCUCUAUAAAGCUCUUUGAAAGUAAGUAACAUCAAGAACUAUCUGUUGACUUUUGUAUAUAAGUAAAAAGUUAAAAUGAACCUAUGGAAGUAGAUAUUUAGUUUUGUAUUUUCAAAUUUUUGGUAUUUGUUUGUCUCUGGAUAAACACAACUUUAUUUUGAGUUUUCCAUCUAUUAGAGAUAAUUUCCAUUGUUGGAUGGUAUGUACCAACUGAUGCUUAAAAAUAGUGCUAUUUGCUAGUGUUUCAGCCCAUUUUUUGAGUCCAUAUAUAUUUAUUUAUGCAUUUACAGUUUUAUUUAUUUAUAGUAAAACAAAAUAUGAUAAAAGAAUGAAUCUAAAAGAUCAAAGAUGGAUAAGAUAUUUAUACAGCUCUGCAUAAGUAUUGCUGGUUUUCCUUUUUAAGAAGUUGGUAUUGGUCUGGUAGUCUGUGCAGAUUGCAGUACAAUCCUCAUUGUUGAUUUCAACACCUGGCGAAUGUUAUAAAAUAUUACUUCCAACUGAUGUUUAUUAUGUAUACCAGUCAGAUGAUAUUGUGGCCACAGCUGAGCAUCAGAAUGUAAGAACAGCAGCAGAAUUGUUUUGUAUAAUUAUUUAUCUCUUAUAAAUGUGUGUAUAUAUGUUUAUAUACAUACACAUUUAGAUAUAUACAUAUUUGUAUAAUUUUAGUUCAAAAGAAAGAAAAAUAAAAUUUAUUAGAUUGUUGGAGCAGAAUGAAAAAUUAAAGUAGUACUCUGGAGAUGAUUAGGUCAGAUUACCAUAGCAGUUUUUAUUUUUAUAAUGUUUAAGUGGAAACAUGUAUAGGAGAAAGAUGCAGAUUUUAUUUUAUUUUCAGUUCCCUUGAGUUUCAGUACAAAGAAACUUCAGCAACAGAAUUUUGUCCUUGUGAGUAAAUAAAAGAAUAUUCUGUA